Molecule: ribosomal RNA, 551 nt
Filed under: uncultured Glomeromycotina
Lineage: Eukaryota; Fungi; Glomeromycota
Description: SSU rRNA
Rfam family: Eukaryotic small subunit ribosomal RNA
Source: RNAcentral
UUGGAGGGCAAGUCUGGUGCCAGCAGCCGCGGUAAUUCCAGCUCCAAUAGCGUAUAUUAAAGUUGUUGCAGUUAAAAAGCUCGUAGUUGAAUUUCGGGAUUCAUCCGUUGGUCGGGCUUCACGGUCCGUACUGGUGUGAUGGGUUCCUACCUUCUGAAUAACCGGCAUGCCAUUAAUUUGGUGCGCCGGGGAAGCAGAACUAUUACCUUGAAAAAAUUAGAGUGCUUAAAGCAGGCAAGUGCCUGAAUAGGUUAGCAUGGAAUAAUAAAAUAGGACGGCAUGGUUCUAUUUUGUUGGUUUCUAGGAUCACCGUAAUGAUUAAUAGGGAUAGUUGGGGGCAUUAGUAUUCAAUUGUCAGAGGUGAAAUUCUUGGAUUUAUUGAAGACUAACUUCUGCGAAAGCAUUCGCCAAGGAUGUUUUCAUUAAUCAAGAACGAAAGUUAGGGGAUCGAAGACGAUCAGAUACCGUCGUAGUCUUAACCAUAAACUAUGCCGACUAGGGAUCGGACGAUGUUAAUUUUUUAAUGACUCGUUCGGCGCCUUACGGGAAAC